RNAcentral lists this long non-coding RNA (2736 nucleotides) under Lynx pardinus (Iberian lynx). The record is from RNAcentral. Lineage: Eukaryota; Metazoa; Chordata; Mammalia; Carnivora; Felidae.
ACCAUUCCCAAAUGUCUCUCAUUCAGUGCCCUCAACCACUGGAAGAAGCCACAAGAGGAAAUGCCUUUCAUCUAGAAUCUCACAUACCAGCCUCUCCUUCCCAUCAUGAAGGGAGCUGAGCUCCGCUGAAGCAGCAGAGAUCCAAGGAGGUGAAGUGAGGCAAAAUGACUCACCAACCAGCCCCAGAGUCAGCAACAAGGCCAGGAAGUGACCACGAGUAUCACUUCCAAACACCCUGCCCUCUGGCCUCCAAGCCAACUCCCUUGUCAGCCACCCAUCCUCCCUUACUGCCUCCUUGUGUUUAAAUGGUAGAGGUUCCUGGAGAAAGCUCCCAUUCCUCUACCCUGUUGCUCACCCAUGACUUAAAUAACUUAGCCGCAGGAGGAGGGGGGGAGGGGAAGGGAGGAGGGGAAAAAAGCAUAACCAAUAAAAAAGCAAUUAAGCCCAGGCAGAUGUUUCCUUUCGUGUACCGAUUAGUUGGAAAAGGACCGACUCAACUAUUAUCCCUGUUUAUUUGAACAGGCUGCCGAAGCGGAUUCUGACUUAUGGCUCCCUGUGGCUGAGGGCUGGGCUGGGAACACACGUGAAGCUAGCCCAGUCAAAGUGUCCAAGAGAGCCCCUGGCAAUCAGGAACAUUUCUGACACAAGUAGAGAGUCAGGAACUAGCCAGUGCUUCCCUCUCCUCUCUCGGAUGCUCAAAGGCCACCCAUUCUCUGUUUCGGAAACCUUCACUGUGUGCCUCUGGGGACAGCGUGGGGACAGCGUGGCCCCAGCGUGCCAGGAAGGGCUUCCGUGCUGGCCGGCCACUGUGGAAGGGUUGUGGCUGGGAAGCUACAAGGGGGCCCCACCCAAAGACAAAAGGGACAUUUAAUCCUGGGAACAACAAAACCUGAUGAGAAUGAAGUCUGCAGGGCUCUUCCGUUCCCUCCUAAAAACAUGCAACGGGUUUCUAGGCAGGGAAGAAAAAGAGACUUUACAGAGCAGUCUUUGUGCCCUAUCACACAGCCUGCAUCUCUUUUCUUUAAAAUUUCUUGGAAGAGAAUGAGUCAUCUAAACAUUGCAGGAAACCAAAUAGAAGUCGAGGGGAAAAAUUACUUUGGGCAAAGUUUUUCUCUUAAAUGUUUGCAUAGUAAUCUUUGCCUGGAAAAAAAAUAAGAUGCCUAAAUUUAGAAUAGAGAUGUGGCACAGUUAACAAUGCGGGUUCCAUGGGAUAGGAAGUGCAAUGGUGUCUUAGGCGGGGAUCUUUUAUUUUGAAACUCACCACAACUGCGCCAGCCAGAGCGUGUUUCCCGGGGCCCCCACUCUGCCUGCUGCUGGGGUGGAGCUGAUCCGGAAGGCAGUGAGAUUGCUACAGCUCCUGCCAGCUGUGCAUUUACAAAGUGGGCAGGGAAUCCUCCUUUUCCAACAGAGAACAGCACCGGAUGACACAAACGAAACGCACAGCCGCAUUUCCCCCAGACUGCAAUCUUCCAAAGCCACCUCACUCAAAGAAAGGGGACAGCGGCAGAAAUGCAAAGGAACAAGAAAGAGGCUACUCGGUCUUGGGCUGCCUGACGCUAAGGCUGGUCACUCUUCUUUGGAUGGAUACAUCUCCUGAGCUUGGAUGGCUUUGUCUAUUAGCAUUUCCCAAAGAAUGCACAGUAUGAAAGGGCUUUCAAACUGGUCCUCAUCCCGGGAGAUUACCUCUUACCUUGUCUGUAGCUGUUUUGCUUAGCAAAAUAGUGGGGUGGGUGGGCCAUUGUUCGUGGCCUAUUCCAUCUAUACUACAUCUACACCACAAAGCCGUAUUAUUUGACAGGCACAAAAUCACCCCGUUUGUAUGAAAGAAAAAAAGAGGAAGGCAUGCCUCUGCCAUGUGGUGAGAGCUAAUUUCGGCCCCAUCCCAAGGCUUAGCCUGUCAGCAGGUAGAAACAGUAGGGUCAUUUAGCUCUCUGCCGAUUAGCCCGUGUCAGCAGUUUUCCAGAAAAGAAUCCAAUUUUCAAGGGCACGUAUCUCCCUUCACCAGUGCUGGCACCCCCACCCCCAAAGAUAUUUCUGAGGCCAACCGUUAAAAGAUCCAGUUUAAAACUGAAUUUACAUUCACAGGUUUCAGAGAAAGGGACAUGAACCCUAUACAAAGCUCUGGCAGCAGGAGGAGUGCCACCAGAUGCACAGUGACAGUUUCAGGGGCACUCGUUCGGCACUUCAAAGAGGCCAAGUUUCAUGGGCUGGAGCUUCGCCUGAAAUGCUAUUGGUGGGGAGGACAGGGGUAAAAGGAGUGGGUGUUGGGCAGUGGGUCCGGUGGCAGGGGACGAUGGACACUGGCCGGCCUUUCCCCUUCCCGCCUCAGCCCAUCUAAACCAGUGGUGCCGUGUGAAGUUGUGGGCGAGGGAGGGUGGUGAUCCCGGAGGUGAGAGCUCAGAAAUGAUUUCUAGAUUUCUCCCCCGGCCGCGACACUUGUGUAUAUGCAGAGGGACUCUUUUUGUACUCGGCAUGCGCUCAUUAAGGUACCACGCGAGGGCUCCAGGAAGGCUGUGCUCCAGUUACGACUUAAUACUCUGGGGAGCCCAAGGUAGUAUAAAAUACAAAAUAUAUUGAAUUGCAGAACUUUUACAGAGAGGUAGGCUGGGAGCUGGCAUAAGAGGGACACUUAAAGUGCUUUUGCCUUCUAAAGACAGGGUAGACCGGGAUUUCAAAAUGCACAUUUUUAAAGUUGCAAUCCAGUACAUCAUAGUGUGUCUACAAUAAAGUACGUAU